UUAAAUUAGUAAGGGCGCAUGGCGGAUGCCUUGGCACUAGAAGCUGAUGAAGGACGUGACGAACAACGAUAUGCUUCGGCGAGCUGUAAGUAAGCUUUGACCCGGAGAUUUCCGAAUGGGGAAACCCAGCAGUAGUAAUGUACUGUUAUCCUAUCAUGAAUACAUAGUGAUAGAGAAAGCAACCUGGCGAACUGAAACAUCUUAGUAACCAGAGGAAAAGAAAGAAAAAUCGAUUCCCUUAGUAGUGGCGAGCGAAAAGGGAUUAGCCCAAACCAAUCUUCGGAUUGGGGUUGUAGGACCUCUAUAUAAGAGUUAUAAAUUCUUUUUAUAGUUGAAUUCAAUGGAAAGUGAAACCAUAGUAGGUGAAAGUCCUGUAAGUGAAAUAAAAAGAACUCUUUGAGGUAUCCUGAGUACAACGGAUCACGUGGAACUCUGUUGGAAUCCGCGGGGACCAUCCCGCAAGGCUAAAUACUCUCUAGUGACCGAUAGUGAACAAGUACCGAGAGGGAAAGGUGAAAAGAACCCCGGGAGGGGAGUGAAAUAGAAUACUGAAACCAUGUGCUUACAAAAAGUCAAAGUCCGUUAAUGGAUGAUGGCGUGCCUUUUGCAGAAUGAACCGGCGAGUUAAUGUUGCAUGCGAGGUUAAGUUGAAGAGACGGAGCCGUAGCGAAAGCGAGUCUUAAUAGGGCGAAUUAGUAUGUAGUAUUAGACCCGAAACCGAGUGAUCUAGCCAUGAGCAGGUUGAAGUUUAGGUAAAACUAAAUGGAGGACCGAACCGACGUACCCGGAAACGUGCGCGGAUGACUUGUGGCUAGCGGUGAAAUUCCAAACGAACUCGGAUAUAGCUGGUUCUCCCCGAAAUAGGUUUAGGCCUAGCCUUGAGAUUUAGCACUGUGGAGGUAGAGCACUGAAUAUAUGAUGGCCCCGUCUAGGGGUACUGAAUGUAAUCAAACUCCGAAUGCCAUGGUUGUAUGCUCAGGAGUCAGCGUAUGGGUGAUAACGUCCAUGCGCGAAAGGAAAAGAGUCCGGAUCGCCAGUUAAGGUCCCAAAAUUUGUACUAAGUGGGAAAGGAUGUGGAGUUGUCAAAACAGCUAGGAGGUUGGCUCAGAAGCAGCCAUCCUUUAAAGAGUGCGUAAUAGCUCACUAGUCGAGUGACACUGCGCCGAAGAUGUACCGGGGCUAAGUACAAUACCGAAACUGCGGAUUCACAUUUAUAUGUGAGUGGUAGGGGAGCGUUCCAAGUUGAGUUGAAGGUAGACCGUGAGGACUGCUGGAUUACUUGGAAGUGAGAAUGCCGGUGUGAGUAGCGCAAGAUGGGUGAGAAUCCCAUCCACCGUUUGACUAAGGGUUCCUGGGGCAGGUUCGUCCGCCCAGGGUUAGUCGGGUCCUAAGACGAGGCCGAGAGGCGUAGCCGAUGGACAACAGGUUGAUAUUCCUGUACUACCUAUAAGACUGAUGGAGUGACGGAGAAGGUUAGGAAAAGCCAGUUAUUGGAUUCUGGUCUAAGCACAAAGGCUUAUAAAUUAGGAAAUCUGUUUAUAAUUAAGCUGAAGUGUGAUGGUGAAGUCGCUUGCGACGAAAUUUUCUGACACCAUGCUUCCAAGAAAAGCUUCUAAGGUUAAUCUUAUAGGUACCCGUACUCAGAACCGACACAGGUGGUCAAGGAGAGUAUCCUAAGGUGAGCGAGAGAACUAUGGUUAAGGAACUCGGCAAAAUAACCCCGUAACUUCGGGAGAAGGGGUGGUCACUAGAUGACCGACACUAAAGACGCCCAGGCAACUGUUUACCAAAAACACAGGUCUCUGCUAAGUCGUAAGACGAUGUAUAGGGGCUGACACCUGCCCAGUGCUGGAAGGUUAAGAGGAGUGCUUAGAUAGACGCAAGUCGAUUAUUCGAAGGUACGAAUUGAAGCCCCAGUGAACGGCGGCCGUAACUAUAACGGUCCUAAGGUAGCGAAAUUCCUUGUCAGGUAAGUUCU
RNAcentral lists this ribosomal RNA (1978 nucleotides) under human gut metagenome. Its description in RNAcentral is "bacterial LSU rRNA". It matches the Rfam family "Bacterial large subunit ribosomal RNA", at positions 1 to 1984 of the family's 2925-position model. The record is from RNAcentral.